This 497-nucleotide ribosomal RNA is filed under the name uncultured bacterium. RNAcentral's name for it is "bacterial SSU rRNA". It matches the Rfam family "Bacterial small subunit ribosomal RNA", at positions 28 to 535 of the family's 1533-position model. The record is from RNAcentral.
GAUGAACGCUAGCGGCAGGCCUAAUACAUGCAAGUCGAACGGGGUAGCAAUACCCAGUGGCGCACGGGUGCGUAACGCGUAUGCAACCUACCUUUUGCUGGGGGAUAGCCCGGAGAAAUCCGGAUUAAUACCGCAUAACACCUUUUGAUGGCAUCUGAGGAAGGUUAAAGAUUUAUCGGCAGAAGAUGGGCAUGCGUGCCAUUAGCUAGUUGGUGGGGUAACGGCCCACCAAGGCGACGAUGGCUAGGGGGUCUGAGAGGAUGGUCCCCCACACUGGCACUGAGAUACGGGCCAGACUCCUACGGGAGGCAGCAGUAGGGAAUAUUGGGCAAUGGGCGGAAGCCUGACCCAGCCAUGCCGCGUGCAGGAUGAAGGCCUUCUGGGUUGUAAACUGCUUUUGACAGGGAAGAAAACACCCAUGCGUGGGGAACUGACGGUACCUGUAGAAUAAGCACCGGCUAACUCCGUGCCAGCAGCCGCGGUAAUACGGAGGGUGC